RNAcentral lists this ribosomal RNA (253 nucleotides) under uncultured bacterium. Its description in RNAcentral is "partial 16S ribosomal RNA". It matches the Rfam family "Bacterial small subunit ribosomal RNA", at positions 524 to 776 of the family's 1533-position model. The record is from RNAcentral.
UACGAACUGUGCAAACGUUAUUCGGAAUCACUGGGCUUAAAGGGCGCGUAGGCGGCCAUUUAAGUAGGGUGUGAAAGCCCCCGGCUCAACCGGGGAAUUGCGUCCUAAACUGGAUGGCUCGAGUGAGAUAGAGGUGUGUGGAACUUCCGGUGGAGCGGUGAAAUGUGUUGAUAUCGGAAGGAACGCCGGUGGCGAAAGCGACACACUGGGUCUCAACUGACGCUGAGGCACGAAAGCCAGGGGAGCGAACGGG